AGAUGUGUGCUUUAAUUCUGCC
RNAcentral lists this non-coding RNA (22 nucleotides) under Arabidopsis thaliana (thale cress). The record is from RNAcentral. Lineage: Eukaryota; Viridiplantae; Streptophyta; Magnoliopsida; Brassicales; Brassicaceae.